AACUAAUCGAGCACAGAUGGAACUUUGCAAGGCAAAAACAGAACAGUCCACACAAAUAGGUUUAUCUGCGAUGAGGUGGCGACUUGUCCAGGGUGUACCCUGCCUUCCGCCCGUGUGCAGUUGGGGAAGGCUCCAGCACCCCCCGCGACCCCGUAAGGGACAAGCGGUAGAAAAUGGAUGGAUGGAAGGCCAGCUUCUGAGAUUGCACUGUAUUUGAG
This is a long non-coding RNA of Nerophis lumbriciformis (worm pipefish), 218 nucleotides long. RefSeq lists it as uncharacterized. The record is from RefSeq and is a predicted model, not a curated record. Lineage: Eukaryota; Metazoa; Chordata; Actinopteri; Syngnathiformes; Syngnathidae.